CCUACGGGAGGCAGCAGUGGGGAAUUUUCCGCAAUGGGUGAAAGCCUGACGGAGCAACGCCGCGUGAGGGAUGAAGGCCUCUGGGGCUGUAAACCUCUUUUAUCAAGGAAGAAGAUCUGACGGUACUUGAUGAAUAAGCCACGGCUAAUUCCGUGCCAGCAGCCGCGGUAAUACGGGAGUGGCAAGCGUUAUCCGGAAUUAUUGGGCGUAAAGCGUCCGCAGGCGGUCUUGUAAGUCUGUCGUUAAAGCGUGGAGCUUAACUCCAUUUCGGCGGUGGAAACUACAAGACUAGAGUGUGGUAGGGGCAGAGGGAAUUCCCGGUGUAGCGGUGAAAUGCGUAGAUAUCGGGAAGAACACCAGUGGCGAAGGCGCUCUGCUGGGCCAUAACUGACGCUCAUGGACGAAAGCUAGGGGAGCGAAAGGGAUUAGAUACCCCUGUAGUCCUAGCCGUAAACGAUGAACACUAGGUGUCGGGGGAAUCGACCCCCGUCGGUGUCCGUAGCUAACGCGUUAAGUGUUCCGCCUUGGGGAGUACGCACGCAAGUGUGAACUCAAAGGAAUUGACGG
This 567-nucleotide ribosomal RNA is filed under the name uncultured bacterium. RNAcentral's name for it is "bacterial SSU rRNA". It matches the Rfam family "Bacterial small subunit ribosomal RNA", at positions 338 to 916 of the family's 1533-position model. The record is from RNAcentral.